GGACGUGGCCGAGGGCGCCAUCACCGUUGAACUCACGAGUCAGCCGGUGAGAGGCUUCGACGAAUACAUGGCGUCUCUGACCCCGACCAACAACAAACGAAAUCCGUGGUUCAAGGAAUAUUGGGAGACGUUCUUUGGGUGCAAACUAGG
RNAcentral lists this long non-coding RNA (150 nucleotides) under Penaeus japonicus. RNAcentral describes it as "uncharacterized LOC122244035". The record is from RNAcentral. Lineage: Eukaryota; Metazoa; Arthropoda; Malacostraca; Decapoda; Penaeidae.